RNAcentral lists this long non-coding RNA (1093 nucleotides) under Cyanistes caeruleus (blue tit). RNAcentral's name for it is "lncRNA (ENSCCEG00000006050.1)". The record is from RNAcentral. Lineage: Eukaryota; Metazoa; Chordata; Aves; Passeriformes; Paridae.
CUCACGGCCCCGGCCACGGCAGAGACGCUUCUGCGGGGAUCCUCCGCUGGCUCGGAAGGGUUGGGCUGCACUGCUCUCUCUCCCUGCAGCGGCGUUACAAGGGUCUCCUCCCGGCUUCACCGGGCUCCGGGUCCCCUGCCCAGCCCGGGGGGUUGCGGUACGACAGCUCCAGCUUGUGCCAUGUCUGCUCCCCCUGGGAACACCGGGUACCGGUGCUGGCACAUCAGGGGUGUGCAGUACCAGCUGAGGGGAACCACGAUGCCCCUGCAGCCGCCUCCAGCCCCGCUGUGCCAGAGAGUCAAACCCUUUGGCAAAGGGGAUGGAGCCAAACUCUGCUGAGAUUGCAACAUGGAGCACCAGCUCCAAGAGUUGAGCAGUUAUUUUGAGGCAGGGCAGGACAAAUCUGUAAGUUGUUCCUUUCCACGAGAGCUACUGGCACUGCACGGAACCCAAAGCACAGGUGGGAGAGCCCUGAGCCUGAGCAAGGUCAGAGCCCCCUGGGUUCCCAAAGGGUCAGAGCACAGAGACGCUCCAGGGCUGGUUGUUCAAGAAAUUUGAGCCUGUGAAGGGUCAGGAGGUUCCAGGGGCUCCAAAGAGGGGGUGCAGAGGAGGGGGCUGCCCUGCCGAGCCCUGCACUUCCGUUAGCACCGCUUUUCCCUCCCUCAAAGGCUUAUGUCAUGACAGUGCCUGGCCCCUGGUGAUUUAUUCCAGUCUUGGCACCGAGUCCAAAGGGCUGGAACCCAUCCCUCAAAUUCUGGGACCAGCUGCCUGGGAAGGCCUGUUCCUGGAGAAGCCAGGCUGUGUUUCAGGGACAUUGCUGCUGUACUGGGGCAGACAGACCAGGACACAACUCAGCCAUGUCCCCACACCUCCCACAGGACAGUCCCAGUGCUCCCAGCCCAGCAUCACUUCUGUUUCAUCCCCGUCUUGGGGUUUCCUGUGUGAAUUGGGAUCCAGGCUGGGAUGGGAGGAGGAGGAAAUCCAGGUUUGGUGGUUCUGGGAGGAGGCAGGUUUGGUGCUGGAUGGAUCCCUCUGUAUUUAUUUAUUUGUAUUUGUGUAACUACAAAUAAAGAGCUGGUAGGGGGUGGAUUCA